ACAGGGGCGCUGACGCAGGUCGGCUGAGAUUGAAUUAUUGCAUUCAAAACCCUUUACACCUGAUACGGAUAAUGCCGUCGUAGGGAGCGUAAUAUUU
RNAcentral lists this non-coding RNA (97 nucleotides) under uncultured Ruminococcus sp. Its description in RNAcentral is "TPP riboswitch (THI element)". The stretch from base 2 to 87 matches the Rfam family "TPP riboswitch aptamer (THI element)", at positions 10 to 89 of the family's 105-position model. From Rfam's summary of the family: Vitamin B(1) in its active form thiamin pyrophosphate (TPP) is an essential coenzyme that is synthesised by coupling of pyrimidine and thiazole moieties in bacteria. The previously detected thiamin-regulatory element, thi box was extended, resulting in a new, highly conserved RNA secondary structure, the THI element, which is widely distributed in eubacteria and also occurs in some archaea. The record is from RNAcentral. Lineage: Bacteria; Bacillati; Bacillota; Clostridia; Eubacteriales; Oscillospiraceae.